This 257-nucleotide ribosomal RNA is filed under the name uncultured prokaryote. Its description in RNAcentral is "partial 16S ribosomal RNA". It matches the Rfam family "Bacterial small subunit ribosomal RNA", at positions 524 to 780 of the family's 1533-position model. The record is from RNAcentral.
UACGGAGGAUGCAAGCGUUAUCCGGAUUCAUUGGGUUUAAAGGGUGCGCAGGCGGGGGAAUAAGUCAGUGGUGAAAAGCUGCCGCUCAACGGUAGUCUUGCCAAUGAUACUGUUUUUCUUGAGUAUGGUUAAGGUAGGCGGAAUGUGUAGUGUAGCGGUGAAAUGCAUAGAUAUUACACAGAACACCGAUUGCGAAGGCAGCUUACUAAUCCAUCAUUGACGCUGAGGCACGAAAGCGUGGGGAUCAAACAGGAUUA